UUUCCGUAGGUGAACCUGCGGAAGGAUUAUUAUUGUAUAACCGAGGUGCGAGGGCUGUCGCUGACCCGAAAGGUCGUGCACGCCCGAGUGCCCUCACACACAUCCAUCUCACCCCUAUGUGCACCACCGCGUGGGUCCCCCUUUGGCUUGUUCGGAGGGGGGCUUACGCUUUCACACAAACUUUGUAUGCAGUGUAGAAUGUAUUUUUUGUUUUUGCGAUCACGCAAUCAAUACAACUUUCAACAACGGAUCUCUUGGCUCUG
Molecule: unclassified non-coding RNA, 263 nt
Filed under: plant metagenome
Description: partial contains small subunit ribosomal RNA, internal transcribed spacer 1, and 5.8S ribosomal RNA
Source: RNAcentral